UCUGGGUCCAACCUCCCACCCGUGUUUAUUUUACCUUGUUGCUUCGGCGGGCCCGCCUUAACUGGCCGCCGGGGGGCUUACGCCCCCGGGCCCGCGCCCGCCGAAGACACCCUCGAACUCUGUCUGAAGAUUGUAGUCUGAGUGAAAAUAUAAAUUAUUUAAAACUUUCAACAACGGAUCUCUUGGUUCCGGCAUCGAUGAAGAACGCAGCGAAAUGCGAUACGUAAUGUGAAUUGCAAAUUCAGUGAAUCAUCGAGUCUUUGAACGCACAUUGCGCCCCCUGGUAUUCCGGGGGGCAUGCCUGUCCGAGCGUCAUUUCUGCCCUCAAGCACGGCUUGUGUGUUGGGCCCCGUCCUCCGAUCCCGGGGGACGGGCCCGAAAGGCAGCGGCGGCACCGCGUCCGGUCCUCGAGCGUAUGGGGCUUUGUCACCCGCUCUGUAGGCCCGGCCGGCGCUUGCCGAUCAACCCAAAUUUUUAUCCAGGUUGACCUCGGAUCAGGUAGGGAUACCCGCUGAACUUAAGCAUAUCAAUAAGCGGAGGAA
Molecule: ribosomal RNA, 542 nt
Filed under: Penicillium chrysogenum
Lineage: Eukaryota; Fungi; Ascomycota; Eurotiomycetes; Eurotiales; Aspergillaceae
Description: eukaryotic LSU rRNA
Rfam family: 5.8S ribosomal RNA (bases 163-315)
Source: RNAcentral